ACAGUUCGGCCACACCCUGUUCUGACUUCUACUUCCGCUUAUUCCCACCGAUAGUAACCAGGGGAACAGUGUACUGCAGACCAGUUCUGCUGUGUCGUACUAUACCCCUCAGAGCAGCGAGCUGUUCAGAGAGCUUGACACUGCUAUCAAGGUCGAUCUGACUCUCAUCAUCCUGUGGAAGGCCAUCCUGUCUAGUCCGGAGGGUGGGGUACAGUCACUUGUUGGGCAGCACCAUGUGAUGGUAGACAAAAUCAACAACCCAGUAACCUCUUACCCAUUACAGAAGACCACACCAGAACUGCCCCCUGUCAAGCUGAUCCGGGAUGUGGAGCCACCCCCAACCCCCAAACCCAGCUCUGAAGUCACCACCCAGCUUACUCACUACAGCUUUGACCAUACUGCACAGAUACAGC
Molecule: long non-coding RNA, 413 nt
Organism: Liolophura sinensis
Lineage: Eukaryota; Metazoa; Mollusca; Polyplacophora; Chitonida; Chitonidae
Exons: 3
Source: RefSeq, a predicted model, not a curated record